RNAcentral lists this ribosomal RNA (508 nucleotides) under uncultured bacterium. RNAcentral describes it as "partial 16S ribosomal RNA". It matches the Rfam family "Bacterial small subunit ribosomal RNA", at positions 28 to 523 of the family's 1533-position model. The record is from RNAcentral.
GAUGAACGCUAGCUACAGGCUUAACACAUGCAAGUCGAGGGGAAACGAUAUUGGAAGCUUGCUUCCGAUAGGCGUCGACCGGCGCACGGGUGAGUAACGCGUAUCCAACCUGCCCACCACUUGGGGAUAACCUUGCGAAAGUAAGACUAAUACCCAAUGAUAUCUCUAGAAGACAUCUGAAGGAGAUUAAAGAUUUAUCGGUGAUGGAUGGGGAUGCGUCUGAUUAGCUUGUUGGCGGGGUAACGGCCCACCAAGGCGACGAUCAGUAGGGGUUCUGAGAGGAAGGUCCCCCACAUUGGAACUGAGACACGGUCCAAACUCCUACGGGAGGCAGCAGUGAGGAAUAUUGGUCAAUGGGCGAGAGCCUGAUCCAGCCAAGUAGCGUGCAGGAUGACGGCCCUAUGGGUUGUAAACUGCUUUUAUAAGGGAAUAAAGUGAGCCUCGUGAGGCUUUUUGCAUGUACCUUAUGAAUAGGGACCGGCUAAUUCCGUGCCAGCAGCCGCCGUAA